This 307-nucleotide ribosomal RNA is filed under the name uncultured bacterium. Its description in RNAcentral is "partial 16S ribosomal RNA". It matches the Rfam family "Bacterial small subunit ribosomal RNA", at positions 506 to 807 of the family's 1533-position model. The record is from RNAcentral.
AGACAGCAGUAGCCGCGGUAAUACGUAGGUGGCAAGCGUUAUCCGGAAUUAUUGGGCGUAAAGCGCGCGCAGGCGGUUUCUUAAGUCUGAUGUGAAAGCCCACGGCUCAACCGUGGAGGGUCAUUGGAAACUGGGGAACUUGAGUGCAGAAGAGAAAAGCGGAAUUCCACGUGUAGCGGUGAAAUGCGUAGAGAUGUGGAGGAACACCAGUGGCGAAGGCGGCUUUUUGGUCUGUAACUGACGCUGAGGCGCGAAAGCGUGGGGAGCAAACAGGAUUAGAUACCCCAGUAGUCCCUGUCUCUUAUAC